This 436-nucleotide ribosomal RNA is filed under the name uncultured bacterium. RNAcentral's name for it is "partial 16S ribosomal RNA". It matches the Rfam family "Bacterial small subunit ribosomal RNA", at positions 29 to 507 of the family's 1533-position model. The record is from RNAcentral.
AAUGAACGCUGGCGGCAUGCCUAACACAUGCAAGUCGAACGAGAGCAUUCGGGGUCUAGUGGCGCACGGGUGCGUAACGCGUGGGAAUCUGCCCUUAGGUUCGGAAUAACAGUUACAAAUGACUGCUAAUACCGGAUGAUGACGUUAAGUCCAAAGAUUUAUCGCGUGAGGAUGAGCCGGAGUAGGAUUAGCUAGUUGGUGUGGUAAAGGCGCACCAAUGCGAGGAUCCUUAGCUUGGCAGAGAGGCUGGUCAGCCACACUGGGAGUGAGACACAGCCCAGACUCCUACGGGAGGCGGCAGUGGCUGAUAUUGGAAAAUGGGGGGAAGCCUGAUCCAGCAAUGCCGCGUAAGUGAUGAAGGCCUGAGAGUAGUAAAGCUCUUUUACCCGGGAUGAUAAUGACAGUACCGAAAGAAUAAGCCCCGGCUAACUCCGUG